This 468-nucleotide ribosomal RNA is filed under the name uncultured bacterium. Its description in RNAcentral is "partial 16S ribosomal RNA". It matches the Rfam family "Bacterial small subunit ribosomal RNA", at positions 28 to 507 of the family's 1533-position model. The record is from RNAcentral.
GACGAACGCUGGCGGCGUGCUUAACACAUGCAAGUCGAACGGAAAGGCCCUGCUUUUGUUGGGUUCUCGAGUGGCGAACGGGUGUGUAACACGCGAGUAUCCUGUCCCUGACUUUGGGAUAACUUCAGGAAACUGGGGCUAAUACCGGAUAUGAUCUCCUGCUGCACGGUGGGGGUUGGAAAGUUUCGGCGGUUGGGGAUGGACUCGCGGCUUAUCAGCUUGUUGGUGUGGUAGUGGCUUACCAAGGCUUUGACGGGUAGCCGGCGUGGGAGGGUGACCGGCCACAUUGGGACUGAGAUACGGCCCAGACUCCUACGGGAGGCAGCAGUGGGGAAUAUUGCACAAUGGGCGGAAGCCUGAUGCAGCAACGCCGCGUGCGGGAUAACGGCCUUCGGGUUGUAAACCGCUUUCGCCUGUGACGAAGCGUGAGUGACGGUAAUGGGUAAAGAAGCACCGGCUAACUACGUG